CCUACGGGGGGCUGCAGUGGGGAAUAUUGCGCAAUGGGCGAAAGCCUGACGCAGCGACGCCGCGUGAGGGAUGAAGGUCUUCGGAUCGUAAACCUCUGUCAGCAGGGAAGAACGGUCACUGUGCUAAUCAGCAGUGAAUUGACGGUACCUGCAAAGGAAGCACCGGCUAACUCCGGGCCAGCAGCCGCGGUAAUACGGAGGGUGCGAGCGUUAAUCGGAAUUACUGGGCGUAAAGGGGUCGUAGGCGGUAUGUCAAGUCAAGGGGGAAAUCCCCGCGCUCAACGUGGGAACUGCCUUUGAAACUGGCAAACUGGAGUGUGUGAGAGGAUAGUGGAAUUCCAGGUGUAGGAGUGAAAUCCGUAGAUAUCUGGAGGAACAUCAGUGGCGAAGGCGACUAUCUGGCACAUAACUGACGCUGAGGAGCGAAAGCGUGGGUAGCAAACAGGAUUAGAUACCCCUGUAGUC
Molecule: ribosomal RNA, 465 nt
Filed under: uncultured bacterium
Lineage: Bacteria
Description: partial 16S ribosomal RNA
Rfam family: Bacterial small subunit ribosomal RNA
Source: RNAcentral